This 421-nucleotide ribosomal RNA is filed under the name uncultured bacterium. Its description in RNAcentral is "bacterial SSU rRNA". It matches the Rfam family "Bacterial small subunit ribosomal RNA", at positions 362 to 774 of the family's 1533-position model. The record is from RNAcentral.
UUGUUCGCAAUGGGCGAAAGCCUGACGACGCAACGCCGCGUGGAGGAUGAAGACUUUCGGGUCGUAAACUCCUUUCGACCGAGAUGAACACCCUUCGGCCUAAUACGCCGAGGGGCUGACAGUAUCGAGGGAAGAAGCCCCGGCUAACUCCGUGCCAGCAGCCGCGGUAAUACGGGGGGGGCAAGCGUUGUUCGGAAUUACUGGGCGUAAAGGGUUCGUAGGUGGCCCGCUAAGUCAGACGUGAAAUCCCUCAGCUCAACUGGGGAACUGCGUCUGAGACUGGCGGGCUUGAGUGCAGGAGAGGAACGCGGAAUUCCAGGUGUAGCGGUGAAAUGCGUAGAUAUCUGGAGGAACACCGGUGGCGAAGGCGGCGUUCUGGACUGUUACUGACACUGAGGAACGAAAGCCAGGGGAGCAAACG